UUUCUUCUGCAGCUUGAGAAAACAGAGGGUAAACAGAAAUGCAGGGAUCCUUAUCAAGGAAUUUUAAUAGUUUGCCCUGGUAACGAAUAUUUUUGUUGUGGUGAGGUAUGUUGUACUGAUCCCAAACCAAAGGUGGCGCCACUCUACUCGGCAUGGUAUUUCUGGAUCGCUGUGUUUGUUGUUGUAUGUUUCACCGUUUCGCUAGUCGUUGCGUGUGUUAUGUGCUGCAAGAAGAGCCGAAAGGACGUACUGAUAAGACUCAAGCGAUCCCUGCCUAAUGCUGUCCUUCGAACAACUCGGAAUUCACAUGGCAUAAUUCAACCAGACGUUACUUUUUACCAACGACCACCAACUAAAGAUACAAGUACGAGUCUCUGUACUACCCACUGCACCAACUUUCGGUUAACUACGCCGAUACGCCCCCUAACGCCGGCCUAUCAACCAACACAGCCAGUUACCGUGACAACAGUAAGUGUGCCCACUUCUUGUGAUGACCUGACAUUACCACCAGGUUACGUGACGUCACGAGAUCUACGAAAGAGCCAUUGAUUGUUUCCGUUUCAGCCGUCAGUGAUCAACAAACAGGGGCGUAUAAAACGUGGGGCAAAGGUAUGCUCCCCUCCCGAUAACUUGUUUAUAGUUUAUGUAUAUAAUAUGCGUUUGUUUCACGUGCCCCCUCUCCGUCCAAAUUUAAAUUACUGAGCAUGUCCGUAUAAUCAAAUGAUAAACUUCAUUUCUUGUACAGUAUGUUUACGCUGACACUAUAAAGACGGUCCCUUGCAUUUCUAGUGUUAAAAUUACAUAUGUUAACACUGACAAAACUUACUUUGCAAAAAUUCUUUAGUGUGUGUGUGUGUUUACAGUGUGUUGAUCCUGGUGGAGCGCGGGGUUCUUUGAGAAAUCAUAAUCAGAAGAAAAAAAUAUAUAUAUAAGUACUUAUGUCGUUGGAAUUGUGUGAGAGGAAAAUAUUGAUAUCGUUACCGUUUUCUCUAAUUACUUCUCCUUACGGAACCUAGAUGGCGCUCAGACUAAGUGAACAAAUCAUUGUGACUCUUCAGAUGAACUGUGAUGGUGAAAAUAGCCUAUGGAGCGAUGUGUGAGAAAAGUACAGUUAUCGAUAUGGAUAGUUAUUUCUUUUACACUGCCUAGAUGGCGCUCAACUCACUUUAUAGUAACAAUUCAGAAGAAUCACGUCAUCUUAUACUAUACGAACUGAACAAUAUAAUAUAAAUAAACAAUAUCUAAUCCUUUCUAUCAUUUACAGUUUGUAUGUAUAUAAAGUAAGGUACUUGAAAGCUCUAUUUGUUGAAUAAUAUAUAUAUAUAUUAUCAGAAAAGUAUAUUUCAAUGUUCGAAACGUACCCAGGAUUUUUAACAGUAAACAUAGGGCCUUGACUUCUCCGUUGUGAUUUGUCCGUUUGUUGAUGAACAUAAUUACUGGCUCCAGACACGUAUACAUUUAAUGUUUUGUACUAGUACUACUAGAGAGUUUUAAGUAUCGUAGGUUCGCGAAUAACAGCUCAAUCUGAAAUCAAGAAUGUAUUUAAAGCUUAAGGGGGAAUAUUCUGUAACAUUAUUUAACUUGCAUCUAAUAUUUUAUUACAUAUUCUGUAAAAUCAUUUACGUUUAGUAUUUUGUUAAAUAAUUUGUGUCUUAUAGAAUUAAUUAAGAAGAAUUAAGGGUUAGUUCACAUUCCAGGAACCAUUAAGAAGUAAAUAGAAAUUUAGCAGUGUGAUUACAGUUAACAUUACAAGUAUUUUUUAUUCUUUAUAAGAGGUUCCAUAUAAACGUGAUCUGGCUCUCAGUUAAACAAUUAACCAUUGUUUUAUUAUUAUUAUUAUUCACAUGCUACUGGGAUAACCUGUAUUUAUAAAGUCUUGAUCUAUUGUAAUAAGUUUAGAUAUGAAUAGCUUUACUGGUCUCGUAAACAUUCUGCAAUUUUUAUAUCCAGUGCAAGAAAUGUCAGUACGCUUAUUUCGUCUGUAUAUAUACACUACCCCGAAUAAUUUGGCCAUUGCAUUCCGCUUGUCUUUUGAUUGCUCGUAUUGCGAUAGAGGGUGCUAAAUUAUUCGAGUUAUACACACACACAACGAAAAAAUAAUAAGCCUUUAAACAAAGUGCCUUCUUAGGCACUUAGUGAAGUUGCUGUGUUUCAUGUGUGAUAGUUUGAUCACUGAGUGGAGUAAGAAAUUUGAAAAAAUUAUGGUCUUCUGAUCAUCCAAAA
Molecule: long non-coding RNA, 2223 nt
Filed under: Limulus polyphemus (Atlantic horseshoe crab)
Lineage: Eukaryota; Metazoa; Arthropoda; Merostomata; Xiphosura; Limulidae
Description: uncharacterized LOC111089674
Source: RNAcentral